Centruroides sculpturatus (bark scorpion) is the source of this 608-nucleotide long non-coding RNA. RefSeq lists it as uncharacterized. The transcript is spliced from 3 exons. The record is from RefSeq and is a predicted model, not a curated record. NCBI's taxonomy places the organism in Eukaryota, Metazoa, Arthropoda, Arachnida, Scorpiones, Buthidae.
UCCAAAAAUUUGCGCUACUAUAACAGAAAAAACUGGUACAUUUACUAGCGAUAAUUAUCCUCUACCUUAUAACCCAGAAACGGAUUGUUAUUAUCAAAUCAUUAAGUAUAAUAGUGCAGUUUGCCAAGCAAAUCUUCAUUUCUCGGACUUCGUUGUUGGUUCAGAAAACGAUGCCACGUGUGUCGAAGACUAUUUAGAGAUUCAAGGAACACGCUAUUGUGGUGUCAGGAGAGGAGAAAAUGUUGUGGUUGGUUUUCCUUCGGAUAAAAAUGAUAUUUCUUUGAGAUUCUCAACUGAUGCAUAUAGAGAGAGAUCAGGAUUUCGUAUUGAAGUCAGCCAGAUUACAGAAGGAUGCGAGAAAGCAACAGAUGAUGAAUGCGGUGGAACGUAUACAAGCGAAACAUUCCAAAUUGUUAGCCCGGGUUACCAAAGCGGAACGUAUAAAGCUAAUUUGGAUUGUAAAUACUUAGUUAAGAAAUCUUCCUACGACGUUUGUGCUUUAGAAAUUAAAUAUUAUAUAUUCGACUUAGAAGAAUCGGAAGAUUGUAAGAAAGAUUAUUUUCAGAUCGGUGACAUAAAAUUAUGUGGAAAAUUAGCCUACGAUUCGA